This 995-nucleotide ribosomal RNA is filed under the name Flavobacterium sp. AMF1281. RNAcentral describes it as "bacterial SSU rRNA". It matches the Rfam family "Bacterial small subunit ribosomal RNA", at positions 45 to 1064 of the family's 1533-position model. The record is from RNAcentral. Lineage: Bacteria; Pseudomonadati; Bacteroidota; Flavobacteriia; Flavobacteriales; Flavobacteriaceae.
GGCAGCUACACAUGCAGUCGAGGGGUAUAGUUCUUCGGAACUAGAGACCGGCGCACGGGUGCGUAACGCGUAUGCAAUCUACCUUUUACAGAGGGAUAGCCCAGAGAAAUUUGGAUUAAUACCUCAUAGUAUUAUAGAAUGGCAUCAUUUUAUAAUUAAAGUCACAACGGUAAAAGAUGAGCAUGCGUCCCAUUAGCUAGUUGGUAAGGUAACGGCUUACCAAGGCUACGAUGGGUAGGGGUCCUGAGAGGGAGAUCCCCCACACUGGUACUGAGACACGGACCAGACUCCUACGGGAGGCAGCAGUGAGGAAUAUUGGACAAUGGGCGCAAGCCUGAUCCAGCCAUGCCGCGUGCAGGAUGACGGUCCUAUGGAUUGUAAACUGCUUUUAUACGAGAAGAAACACUCCGACGUGUCGGAGCUUGACGGUAUCGUAAGAAUAAGGAUCGGCUAACUCCGUGCCAGCAGCCGCGGUAAUACGGAGGAUCCAAGCGUUAUCCGGAAUCAUUGGGUUUAAAGGGUCCGUAGGCGGUUUAAUAAGUCAGUGGUGAAAGCCCAUCGCUCAACGGUGGAACGGCCAUUGAUACUGUUAGACUUGAAUUAUUAGGAAGUAACUAGAAUAUGUAGUGUAGCGGUGAAAUGCUUAGAGAUUACAUGGAAUACCAAUUGCGAAGGCAGGUUACUACUAAUGGAUUGACGCUGAUGGACGAAAGCGUGGUAGCGAACAGGAUUAGAUACCCUGGUAGUCCACGCCGUAAACGAUGGAUACUAGCUGUUGGAAGCAAUUUCAGUGGCUAAGCGAAAGUGAUAAGUAUCCCACCUGGGGAGUACGUCGCAAGAAUGAAACUCAAAGGAAUUGACGGGGCCGCACAAGCGGUGGAGCAUGUGGUUUAAUUCGAUGAUACGCGAGGAACUUACCAAGGCUAAAUGUAGAUUGACGGUUGGAAACAGAUCUUCCAAAACAUUUACAGGUGCUGCAUUGUCGUCAGCUCUGC